Molecule: ribosomal RNA, 950 nt
Filed under: uncultured Bacillota bacterium
Lineage: Bacteria; Bacillati; Bacillota
Description: bacterial SSU rRNA
Rfam family: Bacterial small subunit ribosomal RNA
Source: RNAcentral
UGGAUCCAGACUUUGAUUAUGGCUCAGGAUGAACGCUGGCGGCGUGCCUAAUACAUGCAAGUCGAACGAAACUUCUUUAUCACCGAGUGCUUGCACUCACCGAUAAAGAGUUGAGUGGCGAACGGGUGAGUAACACGUGGGCAACCUGCCCAAAAGAGGGGGAUAACACUUGGAAACAGGUGCUAAUACCGCAUAACCAUAGUUACCGCAUGGUAACUAUGUAAAAGGUGGCUAUGCUACCGCUUUUGGAUGGGCCCGCGGCGCAUUAGCUAGUUGGUGGGGUAAAGGCUUACCAAGGCAAUGAUGCGUAGCCGAACUGAGAGGUUGAUCGGCCACAUUGGGACUGAGACACGGCCCAAACUCCUACGGGAGGCAGCAGUAGGGAAUCUUCCACAAUGGGCGAAAGCCUGAUGGAGCAACGCCGCGUGGGUGAAGAAGGUCUUCGGAUCGUAAAACCCUGUUGUUAGAGAAGAAAGUGCGUGAGAGUAACUGUUCACGUUUCGACGGUAUCUAACCAGAAAGCCACGGCUAACUACGUGCCAGCAGCCGCGGUAAUACGUAGGUGGCAAGCGUUAUCCGGAUUUAUUGGGCGUAAAGGGAACGCAGGCGGUCUUUUAAGUCUGAUGUGAAAGCCUUCGGCUUAACCGGAGUAGUGCAUUGGAAACUGGGAGACUUGAGUGCAGAAGAGGAGAGUGGAACUCCAUGUGUAGCGGUGAAAUGCGUAGAUAUAUGGAAGAACACCAGUGGUGAAAGCGGCUCUCUGGUCUGUAACUGACGCUGAGGUUCGAAAGCGUGGGUAGCAAACAGGAUUAGAUACCCUGGUAGUCCACGCCGUAAACGAUGAAUGCUAAGUGUUGGAGGGUUUCCGCCCUUCAGUGCUGCAGCUAACGCAAUAAGCAUUCCGCCUGGGGAGUACGACCGCAAGGUUGCAACUCAAAUGAAUUGACGGA